Molecule: long non-coding RNA, 3264 nt
Organism: Oncorhynchus nerka (sockeye salmon)
Lineage: Eukaryota; Metazoa; Chordata; Actinopteri; Salmoniformes; Salmonidae
Exons: 3
Source: RefSeq, a predicted model, not a curated record
UCCUGGAGAGCUACCCUCUUGUAGGCUUUUGCUCCAACCCCACUUGUGACUAACCUGGUUCAGUUUAUAAACCAGCUAAUUAUUAGAAUCAGGUGUGCUAGAUUAGCGUUGGAGUGAAAACCUAAAGGACUGUAGCUCCCCAGGAACAGGGUUGGUGGGCCCUGUGUAGAACCACCAAAAAGAAAUAUGGAUAUUUUCUAUCAUUCUUUGAAAUUGAUCUGCCCUUCACAUACUAUAUUUAUAUAAGCUGUACAGUGCUUUCUGUAGCAACAAACAAAUGCUAGACAUUCAGAUUUCCAAAGAACGUUUGUUUAUUUGUCAAAUUCUAAAAUACAUGGGAGUGUAUACUAUUUAAUGCCAACUCAACUGGGUAUCAACUGGGUAUUGAACAAGAAUGUUAUAUGGUAAAAGUAACUUUAAAAAAAAUAGAUGAACAUUGUAGUAUAGUUCAGUGUGUCCAAGUGCUACUCAGAUGUAGAGACAUACGAGUGCAGAGAACUGUAGCUACAGAUUGUUAGACCAGAUAGUGUGAUUUAACCAAAGAUUUUUGCAGACAUCUUGUCUAUUUCAAGUCUUCUCUCAUUGAUCGAGACAGGUGGUGGUGUCCACCCCAAAGCGGCAUUUGAAGGUAAACAUUUGAACGUAAACAGCGUUUUUUUGGCAAAAAUGAAUUCUGGAAUAUGUGAACUUUCAUGUGCAUUAAUAACAAACCUGUAUUCUAUCCAUAAAUACGAUUGUUAAAUUACGAGCAUAGUUGGUUUAGCCACGGAAAAAGUAAGGAACCUUCCCGCUAGCCAUGAUUGGCUGAGAUAAUGGAUAGGUUGGACAUGCUGGGAGAUGAGUUUGGAUUGGUCUGCCAUGUAGCAUGCAUCUGUCUAUAACGUGAGCUGUUCACUAUGUGUUGACAGUCCUUUCUACCAUGACAUUUUUGAAAGAUAUAACGUUAGAACUACAAAAGUUUUGCUAACUUUUCUCAACAACAUUGAUGCCCUAAAUUUAGCAGGGGCUAUUGACAGAUCAGUUGGAAAAAGGGAUGGGCUACUUUCUGCACAUGCCAUGGUCAGUGUGAACCAGAGUGACUUGGUACAACGCUGACCAAACAAGAUGUAACUACAAACAAGAGAUAAUUGGUUCCAGUCUGCUGUGAAGUGUUCAUCCAUGUAUGCGGCUCAGGUUGCAGGCUGUAAUGUGUGCCAAUGACCUGAAGAAGUCGACAGUGUGGCAGAAGCUACCUUGCAUUCUGCCAAAUCGUCUUGCCAUAGUCUCAACCUGGACUGGGGCAGGGUAUAAGGCCUGUUUCAGGGACUUGUUUCUGAAGACCACUCUUCACAGAGCCAUUCGGAAGAGCCCUGCAACCCGGGAUGUCACGGAUAAGGUGGUCCAGAUUCAGGCCACCUGUAACCUGAAAGGGGCCUAUGAUUGUGAAGGCAGGAGGUGGCGGCACACAGGGGAGAGGGAUCCACUGCAGUGAGGGUGAACAUCAAGUCUCUGACCACUUGUCUCAAUGCCACUUUCUACCCCAAGCCACAAGACUGUUCCAACAGCUGAACCCUGGGCUGAUGACUACACCUUACCAUACACUUACCGUUGAUUAAUAUACUGUAAACACUGAAUUAUUUAAAACAAAAUGUAAUUGGUCUACCAGACCAAUGCAAUAGUUGUCACCUUACUGCACUACUAAUGCAUAGAGUAUCCUAUAAUUCUACGCUGCUACUGUACUGUACCUUAUUCCACUCACUAUGUACAUGGGCAAACAAUUUCCAUAGCCUGCUAUAUCCCAAUUAGGCCAUUUUUAAAUCUUAUUUUCUUUAAUCUGCAUGCCUCUUGUACUUGAUUUAGUUUAUUUAGUAUUUUUAUUAGUAUGUUGUAUAUUUACAAUGCCCUUUAUUUGUGAUUUGACUGGAUCGGAUUUGUCGUCACCAGUGGAUCCAGGUGACCAGGACUGGCCCUCGUGAUCUGAUAUAUUUUGCACACACAAAAUCAUUUACUGGACUUUUCCAGAAACAUUUUUCAAAUGGACAUGGCAUCCAUUGUAUGUUAAAUAAUACAAAUAUAUAAAAAGUACGUGGUGACAGGGAGAAGGUAUGCCGCUGGCUUGAAGCUGAAAUAAGCGUCUUGCCUCCGACUGGCAGUUGUAGUGUCGCCAGUCGGGAUGAGGGUGCGUGGGCUGUGUGAGGAAAACUGCUGCUUGACAAUAUUGCGGGCUUCCCGUGUAUGAGGCAAUGGGCAAAAAAGCUGGCGCACGGCGCUCGACCACUCUGGAGGGACGCUGGCCUCCCAAGUGCUCAUUGCUAACUGGGUACACAUCCAUAGCAUACAGGUAUUUGUAUCCUCCACUACACCAUUAGCAAGAGAAGAGCCACUGUUACAUUACCUGCAUUGGAAAAUAUCUUCAAUCUCCAACGUUAACGUUACUACAAUAAAGAACAAUGAUAAGUGAUUGACAUUGAAAUAUUUUCUAUUGAACAGUAAGGCAAGCUUACAAAAUUGUACAUACAAUUGCAGUAAAUACUUCAGCUUGCUAGCUAGAUUCUUUACAUCCACUGGGUUUCACAAGAUGACAGCCUGGUUUGGUGGAUUGCUCAGGAGUUCCCAAAACAUUAAACAACAUGAAUUACAAUUCAUACAAAUGUCAAAUGCCAAUAUAGCAAGUCAGCUAGCUUGUUAAAUUGCAAUUUUAGUAAACUAAUUUUAUCACCUAAAAAUAUGCAUACUUGUUCGUCUGUACAUUAACUUACAUAUUACUCUUAAUUGUAUGUUCUGCACGAUUCGUUAUGAAGUUCUAAUUACUUACCUUUGCUUCCAUCCUAGUAUUUUGGUCAACCAUCUUCCUGUAUCCACUUUAGAGCCUCGGGUCGCAGAGCUUCAUGGGAGUUUGGAUAACCAUGCAAUAUAAAUUCUAAAUGUCAAUGCGACUUAAUUUGGAGGGUGAACAAGAGGAAAAGAGGGUAGCUGCAUCCCAAUGUGGCAACUGGAGUAAGUGCAGGUGGGUGUGUCGAAAGGAAAGUAGUGGAUGUGUCAAAAGGAAAGUAGUGGGUUUGUCGAAAGUCCUCUGCUAUAGGUUAGAUGGUUUUGAUUGAGCUGUGUUUUUUUUCCCGUUUCUUACCAUGCAACUACCAUACAUUGAGCUACGGUUCCUUGAGAGUUUGGACCUCUGUUUUUAAACCAGAGGUUGAGUCUGAGUCGUAUCUCACUGUUAAUUUUACACGCAUAAUUGAACAUUUUCAGUUAUAACUGAUGAUUGUUUAGUUUUUAUUAAAAUAA